This 468-nucleotide ribosomal RNA is filed under the name uncultured bacterium. Its description in RNAcentral is "partial 16S ribosomal RNA". It matches the Rfam family "Bacterial small subunit ribosomal RNA", at positions 28 to 507 of the family's 1533-position model. The record is from RNAcentral.
GACGAACGCUGGCGGCGUGCUUAACACAUGCAAGUCGAACGGAAAGGCCCUGCUUUUGUGGGGUGCUCGAGUGGCGAACGGGUGAGUAACACGUGAGUAACCUGCCCUUGACUUUGGGAUAACUUCAGGAAACUGGGGCUAAUACCGGAUAGGAGCUCCUGCUGCAUGGUGGGGGUUGGAAAGUUUCGGCGGUUGGGGAUGGACUCGCGGCUUAUCAGCUUGUUGGUGGGGUAGUGGCUUACCAAGGCUUUGACGGGUAGCCGGCCUGAGAGGGUGACCGGCCACAUUGGGACUGAGAUACGGCCCAGACUCCUACGGGAGGCAGCAGUGGGGAAUAUUGCACAAUGGGCGGAAGGCUGAUGCAGCAACGCCGCGUGCGGGAUGACGGCCGUCGGGUUGUAAACCGCGUUCGCCUGUGACGAAGCGUGAGUGACGGUAAUGUGUAAAGAAGCACCGGCUAACUACGUG